This 425-nucleotide ribosomal RNA is filed under the name uncultured bacterium. RNAcentral's name for it is "bacterial SSU rRNA". It matches the Rfam family "Bacterial small subunit ribosomal RNA", at positions 359 to 776 of the family's 1533-position model. The record is from RNAcentral.
GAAUUUUGGACAAUGGGCGCAAGCCUGAUCCAGCCAUGCCGCGUGAGUGAAGAAGGCCUUCGGGUUGUAAAGCUCUUUCGGCAGGAACGAAAUGGUCCGUGCUAAUACCACGGAUCGAUGACGGUACCUGACGAAGAAGCCCCGGCUAACUACGUGCCAGCAGCCGCGGUAAUACGUAGGGUGCAGGCGUUAAUCGGAAUUACUGGGCGUAAAGCGUGCGCAGGCGGUUUCUUAAGUCAGAUGUGAAAGCCCCGGGCUUAACCUGGGAACUGCGUUUGAAACUGGGAGACUUGAGUGUGGCAGAGGGGGGUGGAAUUCCACGUGUAGCAGUGAAAUGCGUAGAUAUGUGGAGGAACACCAAUGGCGAAGGCAGCCCCCUGGGUCAACACUGACGCUCAUGCACGAAAGCGUGGGGAGCAAACAGG